This 492-nucleotide ribosomal RNA is filed under the name uncultured bacterium. RNAcentral describes it as "partial 16S ribosomal RNA". It matches the Rfam family "Bacterial small subunit ribosomal RNA", at positions 28 to 507 of the family's 1533-position model. The record is from RNAcentral.
GAUGAACGCUAGCUACAGGCUUAACACAUGCAAGUCGAGGGGAAACGCCAUCGAAAGCUUGCUUUUGAUGGGCGUCGACCGGCGCACGGGUGAGUAACGCGUAUCCAACCUGCCCAUCACUUGGGAAUAACCUUGCGAAAGUAAGACUAAUACCCAAUGACAUCCCACGAAGACAUCUGAAUGGGAUUAAAGAUUUAUCGGUGAUGGAUGGGGAUGCGUCUGAUUAGCUUGUUGGCGGGGUAACGGCCCACCAAGGCAACGAUCAGUAGGGGUUCUGAGAGGAAGGUCCCCCACAUUGGAACUGAGACACGGUCCAAACUCCUACGGGAGGCAGCAGUGAGGAAUAUUGGUCAAUGGGCGAGAGCCUGAACCAGCCAAGUAGCGUGCAGGAGGACGGCCCUAUGGGUUGUAAACUGCUUUUAUAAGGGAAUAAAGUGGGUCUCGUGAGACUUUUUGCAUGUACCUUAUGAAUAAGAACCGGCUAAUUCCGUG